RNAcentral lists this ribosomal RNA (755 nucleotides) under Salmonella enterica. RNAcentral's name for it is "partial 23S ribosomal RNA". It matches the Rfam family "Bacterial large subunit ribosomal RNA", at positions 1 to 688 of the family's 2925-position model. Lineage: Bacteria; Pseudomonadati; Pseudomonadota; Gammaproteobacteria; Enterobacterales; Enterobacteriaceae. RNAcentral also lists the same sequence under 1 other name. The record is from RNAcentral.
GGGUUGUGAGGUUAAGCGACUAAGCGUACACGGUGGAUGCCCUGGCAGUCAGAGGCGAUGAAGGGCGUGCUAAUCUGCGAUAAGCGCCGGUAAGGUGAUAUGAACCGUUAUAACCGGCGAUACCCGAAUGGGGAAACCCAGUGUGACUCGUCACACUAUCAUUAACUGAAUCCAUAGGUUAAUGAGGCGAACCGGGGGAACUGAAACAUCUAAGUACCCCGAGGAAAAGAAAUCAACCGAGAUUCCCCCAGUAGCGGCGAGCGAACGGGGAGGAGCCCAGAGCCUGAAUCAGCAUGUGUGUUAGUGGAAGCGUCUGGAAAGGCGCGCGAUACAGGGUGACAGCCCCGUACACAAAAGCGCAUGUGCUGUGAGCUCGAUGAGUAGGGCGGGACACGUGGUAUCCUGUCUGAAUAUGGGGGGACCAUCCUCCAAGGCUAAAUACUCCUGACUGACCGAUAGUGAACCAGUACCGUGAGGGAAAGGCGAAAAGAACCCCGGCGAGGGGAGUGAAAAAGAACCUGAAACCGUGUACGUACAAGCAGUGGGAGCCCCACCACUAAGCCAGUGGUGAACUCCACAUACGCAUCCUUUGCUGAGGAUACGGUUAACGGAGCGAAAGCGACGUUCAACCGCAAAAGAAGCAGAGGGGGCUUAGUGGUGGGGUGACUGCGUACCUUUUGUAUAAUGGGUCAGCGACUUAUAUUCUGUAGCAAGGUUAACCGAAUAGGGGAGCCGGAGGGAAACCGAGUCUUAAC